UACAGAGGGGGCGAGCGUUGUUCGGAAUUACUGGGCGUAAAGCGUGCGCAGGCGGUUUUGUAAGCCAGAUGUGAAAUCCCCGGGCUCAACCUGGGAAUGGCAUUUGGGACUGCAAGGCUGGAGUACGGCAGAGGGGGGUAGAAUUCCACGUGUAGCAGUGAAAUGCGUAGAUAUGAUGGAGGAACACCGAUGGCGAAGGCAGCCCCCUGGGUCAAGCAUUGACGCUCAUGCACGAAAGCGUGGGGAGCAAACAGG
RNAcentral lists this ribosomal RNA (255 nucleotides) under uncultured bacterium. RNAcentral's name for it is "partial 16S ribosomal RNA". It matches the Rfam family "Bacterial small subunit ribosomal RNA", at positions 524 to 776 of the family's 1533-position model. The record is from RNAcentral.